This 497-nucleotide ribosomal RNA is filed under the name uncultured bacterium. RNAcentral describes it as "partial 16S ribosomal RNA". It matches the Rfam family "Bacterial small subunit ribosomal RNA", at positions 28 to 507 of the family's 1533-position model. The record is from RNAcentral.
GAUGAACGCUGGCGGCGUGCCUAAUACAUGCAAGUCGAGCGAAGGGACGAGAAGCUUGCUUCUCUGAUGUUAGCGGCGGACGGGUGAGUAAAACGUGGAUAACCUACCUAUAAGACUGGGAUAACUUCGGGAAACCGGAGCUAAUACAGGAUAAUAUUUGGAACUGCAUGGUUCAAAAGUGAAAGACGGUUUUGCUGUCACUUAUAGAUGGAUCCGCGCUGCAUUAGCUAGUUGGUAAGGUAACGGCUUACCAAGGCAACGAUGCAUAGCCGACCUGAGAGGGUGAUCGGCCACACUGGAACUGAGACACGGUCCAGACUCCGACGGGAGGCAGCAGUAGGGAAUCUUCCGCAAUGGGCGAAAGCCUGACGGAGCAACGCCGCGUGAGUGAUGAAGGUCUUCGGAUCGUAAAACUCUGUUAUUAGGGAAGAACAUAUGUGUAAGUAACUGUGCACAUCUUGACGUUACCUAAGCAGAAAGUCACGGCUAACUACGUG